This is a long non-coding RNA of Anopheles cruzii, 158 nucleotides long. RefSeq lists it as uncharacterized. The transcript is spliced from 3 exons. NCBI's taxonomy places the organism in Eukaryota, Metazoa, Arthropoda, Insecta, Diptera, Culicidae. The record is from RefSeq and is a predicted model, not a curated record.
GCCAAAUGUCUGCAGAAGAUAUCGCCGAAAGAAUCUGCUGCAGGAGGAUGCCGUAAAUGUUUGUAUCACGAAGUGUGCCGAGCGACGUCCCGUCUCGAGAAGGAAGCGCAUGAAAUGGUGCCGUAGGAUGCUGGAGAAGGGUGUAUGUACGUAUAGUG